This 333-nucleotide ribosomal RNA is filed under the name Triticum aestivum (bread wheat). RNAcentral's name for it is "partial small subunit ribosomal RNA". Lineage: Eukaryota; Viridiplantae; Streptophyta; Magnoliopsida; Poales; Poaceae. The record is from RNAcentral.
AUGGCGCCGCGCGAUGGAGUUAUCUUUGCUAAUCUAUGUGGCUUCUCCCAUGUGAUCAUGGAAAUAGACUGCCUAGAGAUUGUUAAUCUCUGGAACACUCGUCACAAUAGCCUUUCUGUUGCGGCUCCUUUACUUUUAGAAAUUGGAGAGCUAGUUGUCUCCUUUUCUUCUUUUGUUAUUCAACAUGUAAGUAGAUCAGCCAAUGUUCCGGCCCACCUUUGUGCUAAACAUGCAUGCACAUCGAUGGUCACCGAAAGUUGGACUGGAUCUAGACCAUCUUUCCUACUCACCAGCCUCUCGGCUGAUGAUCCUAGGAGUUCUUUCGUUAAAUAA